RNAcentral lists this non-coding RNA (45 nucleotides) under Schistosoma margrebowiei. The record is from RNAcentral. Lineage: Eukaryota; Metazoa; Platyhelminthes; Trematoda; Strigeidida; Schistosomatidae.
AUCCAGCUGACGAGUCCCAUACAGGGCUAAAUGCGCAUCUUAGAU